This 2647-nucleotide long non-coding RNA is filed under the name Mus musculus (house mouse). RNAcentral describes it as "long non-coding RNA chr6:86430758-86433405". Lineage: Eukaryota; Metazoa; Chordata; Mammalia; Rodentia; Muridae. The record is from RNAcentral.
AAAAAAAAAAAAAAAGCCAAACUUGUGCAAAGUCUAGAAGUUCUCUAUGACUUUCAGUAUGCACACAGUUGUCUUAGGUUUAAAGAGUAAUAGACGUUUCGUGAACUAUACCAUCUCCACUAUUAUCCCUUUGGAAUUUUUAAAUGUAAAUUAUUAGUUUAUAUCAUUUUAUAUCCACAUUUUUUCACAAAUUUGUCCUGCCUUAUGAAAUAUCUGUAAAAUAUUCUUAAAUGAAAAAAAAUGAUGUUCACUUAGAUUGAAAACUUUUCUCAGAUGGACCGAUAAUUGCAUUCAUCUUGUUUUUAUAAGAGAAGGUGCCUCAAGGAUUCCCUGUUGGAUUUGUUUAAAAGGACUUUUUAUCUUCUGUGAUAACCUUUGCCAUGUACCAGGAACUAGGAAAACAAGAAACUUGUUCUAAAGAGAUCUGCAAUGUGAUAAGUCCUCGCCGCAUCAGUCUCGUGCGUCAGCAUUUAUGUUUACACGCAUUGUUGUCUAAGAUACUUCAGCAAGUCAUGUUGUGCAGUUAGCAAACUUUGUAUGUCAUUUCCUCCUACAGGUGUCAUGAAGAGUUGACGUAAGACAGAUUUUACAUUUGCAUGUGAAUAUCACAUACAUACUUUGGUAGUCUUUGAUACAAACUCAUCUGCUCUUCUUUUUCAAGCAUUUUGAGACACAAAGUUGUAUGUAAAGGAAUAUAUUAAUUAGAUUUUUUUUAGUUAGAUUUACUUUAAAAAGUAAAUCCACUUUAAUGUGUACAAAUGAUAGCUGUGAAACUGUAGAGUUUUUCUCUGUCAGGCUUGGGAUUCACUAAGAACUCCAAAACUAGCCUGAAGGACCAGCCGGGCAAAACAUUUUUUAAAUAUUCAGAGGCCAAAAUAUGAGCAAACAAAUAAAAAAACUCUUAAAAGUCCUACCUCCUUAAACAGCCUUCAAGGCAAAGCCCCUGCGCACAGGCAUGGCUUUGGUCUUGGUCCCUGGUCUCUUGGAGCCCCCAUAGUACUAUUGAGGUUUACUCUUCACUGGCGUUGUUCUAGCCUUGGGGUUCCUAAUAUAUUUCAGAGUCUCUUGGUUUGGUGUGGUUUUAGUGAUGACCACACCUUCUCCUCACAGUAGAGAGGAAGGAGCCCUGUGCACUGUGGGUUUGAGGCCUGCAGAGAGCUCCCAGCAUUUUACUUGGGCCUAUGGAAUUGGAAGCAUUUCCUGGCCUGUAUCUUUCAGGUAGGAGCACACAACUCUAACCUGUUUUCUAAGCCAGUCCCCUUGUACAACAGAGCCCAGGAAGACAGUCUCAAAUGUGUGCUUCUCUGGAGCUCAAUUCUAUGCAGUUGUGCUAAUGUUUCAUUAAGUCACUGUGUAUUUUUAAGUACUAAAACAUUGAAAUUUGCUUUAUGGAAGAUGAAUAAAUUUUUUAAAUACUUGGAAUUUUAUUUCUUUGUAAACUUCUACAGAUCAGGACAGACAAUAAAAGCAGCUUAAAUAAAAUACUAAAAACAAAAAGACAAAACCCACACACCAGGAUGCUAUCUUUAAGUUUUUCUGGAUUUGUCUCUAUUUUAGCAUCCUUAGUAUAUGUCUUUGUUUAAGAAUUUUACUUCCUUUGUAACUUUAGGCUGCAGGAUCUUUUGGGCACAAGUAAUUUAUUGUGUGCAAAAGUGUAGUUUCUCUCUUCUUUUGACUCUUUCAAGUACUAAGGACUUUUAUUAGUAGCAUAUUCUUAUUGCACAGAUCUUAAAAUUCAUGUUGAUUUGCUGUUAAGAAGGUGGUGGUGCUGUGUUCCUGAUGAAAGACUGACAUAUCAGGAACAUAGCUGUUGUUAGUUUAAAUAAAUCAUUUAAGUCAUUUCUCAACCUAAAAAACUUCAUCCUGGUAUAAGUAUCAGGUAAGGAAAUGAAGGUUUUUAAAGUGAACUUCCUUGCAAUAUGCAUUCAGGUUUUAUUCUCUGGUACUGUAAAGAACCUGAGUGACUCUCAGUGGGUCAUGGAGCCAGUAUUCUUUAUCCUGACUGUUUGGAUAUUAAAAUUCCUUUAUGUUUUAUAUGACCUGUGGGGUCUUCUUGCAGUGAUUAUUGUGUGUGAGAUUUUUCCCCCGGCGCUGGCGUAUUCAUAUUAUAUUGUUAACACUCAGGUUCACCUUAUCCCAGAAGCCAUGGUCUGCAUGGGUUCCAGAGGAUCUGCACUCUGCAGACUUAGCCAACUGUGAAGUCAGAGUUUGGUCUUCCUGGUGUAAAGGAGACUCCCCGUCUAGAUUGUCCUUCUCUUGCUUUUCCCUGUGCUCAUCUUCCUUUUAGAUUUGUGCUAGAGGUCCCUUUCAUUGUCAGGGGACUAGAUUACAUCUACAGAAGGAGUAGACAGACUUAAUAAGGGCUAUCCAUGCUACUGAGAUGAUAGUUUAGUUAGACAAACAAAAUAUAUUCAUAGGAAAAUUUCAAAAGCAAAACUUUUUAAUGAGUGAUGAUUUCUAAAAACUAAUUUUUAUUGGUCUAGUGACCUGGUUUAGCAGGUAAGGUGAUUGUUGCCAAGCCUGAUGCCCUGAGUUUGAACAUACUAGGGAGAAGUAGAGAAUUAAUUCUCACAAGUUAUCCUCGUCCCUCCACAUGUGUACACCCUCCCACCAUGGCCACGUAUAUCAAUAAAUCUUUAAAACUGCC